AUGCAGAGCUACCCGGCCAUGAAAGUGAAUACAAUCGGAAAACUACUUCUCUUGGUGUUGGUGACUAUCAGUGCACAUUAUCUGGUCGUCUGCAGCUCCUCCUUCUUACAUGGAAACAAUACAGAUAUGUUAUCGCUGCUUGACUUUAAGGAUGCAAUCAGUCUCGAUCCACAACAAGCCUUCAUGUCUUGGAACGAUAGCACCCACUUCUGCAAUUGGGAAGGCGUACUGUGCAGGUUGAAGGCUACACGUCGUGUCAUUCCCUAA
This 267-nucleotide ribosomal RNA is filed under the name Triticum aestivum (bread wheat). Its description in RNAcentral is "partial small subunit ribosomal RNA". Lineage: Eukaryota; Viridiplantae; Streptophyta; Magnoliopsida; Poales; Poaceae. The record is from RNAcentral.